RNAcentral lists this ribosomal RNA (467 nucleotides) under uncultured bacterium. RNAcentral describes it as "partial 16S ribosomal RNA". It matches the Rfam family "Bacterial small subunit ribosomal RNA", at positions 28 to 506 of the family's 1533-position model. The record is from RNAcentral.
GACGAACGCUGGCGGCGUGCUUAACACAUGCGAGUCGAACGGAAAGGCCCUGCUUUUGUGGGGUGCUCGAGUGGCGAACGGGUGAGUAACACGUGAGUAACCUGCCCUUGACUUUGGGAUAACUUCAGGAAACUGGGGCUAAUACCGGAUAGGAGCUCCUGCUGCAUGGUGGGGGUUGGAAAGUUUCGGCGGUUGGGGAUGGACUCGCGGCUUAUCAGCUUGUUGGUGGGGUAGUGGCUUACCAAGGCUUUGACGGGUAGCCGGCCUGAGAGGGUGACCGGCCACAUUGGGACUGAGAUACGGCCCAGACUCCUACGGGAGGCAGCAGUGGGGAAUAUUGCACAAUGGGCGGAAGCCUGAUGCAGCAACGCCGCGUGCGGGAUGACGGCCUUCGGGUUGUAAACCGCUUUCGCCUGUGACGAAGCGUGAGUGACGGUAAUGGGGAAAGAAGCACCGGCUAACUACGU